CCUUUGGCUAGAGGUUUUACUAUAUCCAUCCUUGGAAGAGAAAUAAUAAAAAAAAUUAAAAAGAAGCAGCUAGUUCAAAAUCCAAAUUCCUAUUUAAUGGAUAUAAAAUGUCCAGGUUGCACCAAGAUUAACAGGAUUUCCAUCCAUCCUUAGACAGUAGUUCUUUGUGUAGGCUGUUCAACAGGGUUGUGCCAGCCUGCAGGGGGAAAAGCAGACCAAAAGAAGGAUGCUCAUUUACCAGAAAGCA
Molecule: long non-coding RNA, 247 nt
Filed under: Homo sapiens (human)
Lineage: Eukaryota; Metazoa; Chordata; Mammalia; Primates; Hominidae
Description: non-protein coding lnc-TEX36-3:1
Source: RNAcentral